UUCCCCCACGCCGUCCCGGGACUCGCAGCCUCCGCCGCGCAUGGGGCCGGUUCUGGGGGAGGGAAUGUAAACAAAUCGGGGUUUUAUAGUUACCUCACACUCGAGUGCCGUGUGCAUCUCCUCUCCGCUCGGUACCAAACCCCGGCUGCACCAAAUCGUGUAUUCAUCAAAGCCGGCUGCGCUAAAUGCGUCGCGGAAGCCAGAGCGUCAGACGCCGCGCUACGCUAGCAGCGUACUAGGCCCACUCAGGUCCCUGCGCAGCCGCACCCCGUCUGCCUAUGGGUGCUACGCUACGGGCGUACACGCACCACCCAGUCAUUCACUUCGGAAACGCCGCCUGCGUAAGGGAAUUGCACCACUCGCGGAUUCCACACGGAUGGUCAGAGCAAUAGAAAUUCGAGUCUACGCAAAUUGCGGAGCCCCGUGGCUCCGCGCUAGUUUUGUUCCAAGAAAGGACACUGUGGGGGAGUUGGGGCAGCUUCUAACGCAUGCGUGGAGUGCCCUUCACCACUUGCUUUUUCUCCCAGUGUUACAGAUCGGUUCCUGAGGCCUUGGGCAGGCGAAUGAGAAAUGGAAGAUCCUGGAGCAAUCACUUUGGCCAAAAGAUACCAUAUACUUCAGCCUGGAGUUUGAAACUCUAGUUCUGGAUCUGAUGCCAGAGAAAUGUAAAAGGUACAUCCCAUUCCUGUUCCUUGGGGCCUGUGGCACUGUCUAACAUCUAAUGAGUUCUCAAAAUUGUCUUAUUAUAUUUCCUGGGAGCAUCAAGGAAGAGGAGCAGAAGAAAGAGACAGAGUCUUGCUGUUUUGCCUAGGCUGGCCUGGAACUCCUGGGCUCAGUGGAUCCUCCUGUCUCAGCCAGGACUACACAUGUGUGAACUGGUGACUCUUAAAUCUCACCACACCCUUGUCACUCCCCUAAAGUUAUGAUCAUUUAUUGGCAGAACUAGUUGGAUCCUGAUGAAGCUCACGUCCAAUCCACUCUCCACAAUGAAAGUCAGAGCCAUCAGUAACUUGUUGAGUUACUGUCAUGUAUAAAACUUCCAAAGCUUCCCACAGCCCGUGGGUUAAAUAAUUUACCUGACAAACAGUGUUUGAUCUAAUCUGAUUCCAUAUUAUCUCUGUGAAUUUACAUCUCAUUACUCUAGAAUUAUGCUUUCCAAAAUAUGGCAGCCACAAGUCACAAGUGGUUGUUUAACACUUGAAGAGUGGAGAGUCUAAAUUGAGAUGGUGAUUUAAAUGUAAAACACACAAUGGAUUCCUAGAAUCUAGUGCAAAAUUAUAAAAACAUCAGUAAUAAUUUUUCAUACUGAUUAUAUGCUGAGAUUAUAUGAUUUUAAAUAUAUUGGGCUAAAUAAAAAUAUUAAAAUUUCA
Molecule: long non-coding RNA, 1370 nt
Organism: Marmota monax (woodchuck)
Lineage: Eukaryota; Metazoa; Chordata; Mammalia; Rodentia; Sciuridae
Exons: 4
Source: RefSeq, a predicted model, not a curated record